This is a non-coding RNA of Peromyscus californicus insignis, 513 nucleotides long. The record is from the annotation of a RefSeq genome assembly. NCBI's taxonomy places the organism in Eukaryota, Metazoa, Chordata, Mammalia, Rodentia, Cricetidae.
AUGAGGGCCCCCACUCAGUUCCUAUGGUUACUGCUUCUCUGGCUUACAGGAGCCAAAUGUGAUGUUCAGAUGACCCAGUCUCCAGCCUCCUUGUCUGCAUCUGUGGGAGAAAGUGUCACCAUGACAUGCCAAGCAAGUCAGGACAUUUAUAGCAACUUAGCAUGGUAUCAGCAGAAACCAGGGAAAUCUCCCAAGCUCCUGAUCUAUGGUGCAAAAUACUUGGCAAAUGGGGUCCCAUCGAGAUUCAGUGGCAGUGGAUCUGGCACACAGUAUUCUCUUAAGAUUAGCAGCCUGCAGGCUGAAGACAUUGCGACUUAUUACUGUCAACACUAUUACGGUACCUCUCCCACAGUGAUUCAUGCCAUGACACAAACCAUCAGGGAAGCAGAAGUGAGAAUCCAGGCUGUCUUGAUUUUACUUCUGCUGUUUCGAGUUACUGAAAGUGUUCCUCUUUGUCUGGAGUUAAAGGACAAUGUCAUGUUUCUAUCUGCGGAUCUGUAUUUAUUUAGAUAA